UACGUAGGGUGCGAGCGUUAAUCGGAAUUACUGGGCGUAAAGCGUGCGCAGGCGGUUCGUUGUGUCGGCGGUGAAAGCCCCGGGCUUAACCUGGGAAUGGCCGUUGAAACUGGCGAACUGGAGUGUGGCAGAGGGGGGUGGAAUUCCGCGUGUAGCAGUGAAAUGCGUAGAGAUGCGGAGGAACACCGAUGGCGAAGGCAGCCCCCUGGGCUAACACUGACGCUCAGGCACGAAAGCGUGGGAAGCAAACAGG
This 253-nucleotide ribosomal RNA is filed under the name uncultured bacterium. RNAcentral describes it as "partial 16S ribosomal RNA". It matches the Rfam family "Bacterial small subunit ribosomal RNA", at positions 524 to 776 of the family's 1533-position model. The record is from RNAcentral.